RNAcentral lists this non-coding RNA (31 nucleotides) under Mus musculus (house mouse). The record is from RNAcentral. Lineage: Eukaryota; Metazoa; Chordata; Mammalia; Rodentia; Muridae.
UNCAAAGUGAGUUCCAGGACAGCCAGGGCUA